Molecule: transfer RNA, 73 nt
Filed under: Saprospiraceae bacterium
Lineage: Bacteria; Pseudomonadati; Bacteroidota; Saprospiria; Saprospirales; Saprospiraceae
Description: tRNA-Lys
Rfam family: tRNA
About the family: Transfer RNA (tRNA) molecules are approximately 80 nucleotides in length. Their secondary structure includes four short double-helical elements and three loops (D, anti-codon, and T loops).
Source: RNAcentral
GAUCUCGUAGCUCAGCUGGUAGAGCAUCUGACUUUUAAUCAGAGGGUCCCGGGUUCGAGCCCCGGCGAGAUCA